CACCCGCGGCCCGAGUGGUGGUCAUUAUUAUUGAGCUUAAAGCGUCCGUAGCCGGUCUGGUAAAUCCCUGGGUAAAUCGAAUGGCUCAACUAUUCGAAUUCCAGAGAGACUGCUAGACUUGGGACCGGGAGAGGCCAGAGGUACUCCUGGGGUAGAAGUAAAAUUCUGUAAUCCUAGGAGGACCACCAGUGGCGAAAGCGUCUGGCUUGAACGGAUCCGACGGUGAGGGACGAAGCCCUGGGGCGCGAAC
Molecule: ribosomal RNA, 250 nt
Filed under: uncultured Thermoplasmata archaeon
Lineage: Archaea; Methanobacteriati; Thermoplasmatota; Thermoplasmata
Description: partial 16S ribosomal RNA
Rfam family: Archaeal small subunit ribosomal RNA
Source: RNAcentral